CAUGCAAGUCGAGCGGUAACAGACAUAAAGAUUCAGCUUGCUGAAUCCGGUGCUGACGAGCGGCGAACGGGUGAGUAACGCGUAGGAAUCUACCCAGUAGCGGGGGAUAGCCCGAGGAAACUCGGAUUAAUACCGCAUACGCCCUGAGGGGGAAAGGGGGCAGUUUACUGCUCUCACUAUUGGAUGAGCCUGCGUAAGAUUAGCUUGUUGGUGGGGUAAUGGCCUACCAAGGCGACAAUCUUUAGCUGGUCUGAGAGGACGAUCAGCCACAUUGGGACUGAGACACGGCCCAGACAUCUACGGAUGGCAGCAGUUAAGAAUAUUGGACAAUGGGGGCAACCCUGAUCCAGGUAUACCGCGUGUGUGAAGAAGGCCCUAGGGUUGUAAAGCACUUUAAUCAGAGAAGAAGCAUUUUAAGUUAAUACCUUAAUAUGUUGACGUUACCUGAAGAAUAAGGACCGGCUAACUCCGUGCCAGCAGCCGCGGUAAUACGGAGGGUCCAAGCGUUAAUCGGAAUUACUGGGCGUAAAGCGCGCGUAGGCGGUUUAGCAAGUUGUAUGUGAAAGCCCUGGGCUCAACCUAGGAACUGCAUCCAAAACUACUAAGCUAGAGUACGAGAGAGGAGAGUAGAAUUUCUGGUGUAGCGGUGAAAUGCGUAGAUAUCAGAAGRAAUACCAAUGGCGAAGGCAGCUCUCUGGCUCGUCACUGACGCUGAGGUGCGAAAGCGUGGGUAGCAAACAGGAUUAGAUACCCUGGUAGUCCACGCCGUAAACGAUGAGAACUAGCCGUUGGGCAGAUUUAACUGUUCAGUGGCACAGCUAACGCAUUAAGU
Molecule: ribosomal RNA, 832 nt
Filed under: uncultured Gammaproteobacteria bacterium
Lineage: Bacteria; Pseudomonadati; Pseudomonadota; Gammaproteobacteria
Description: bacterial SSU rRNA
Rfam family: Bacterial small subunit ribosomal RNA
Source: RNAcentral